This 976-nucleotide ribosomal RNA is filed under the name uncultured Actinomycetes bacterium. RNAcentral describes it as "bacterial SSU rRNA". It matches the Rfam family "Bacterial small subunit ribosomal RNA", at positions 61 to 1028 of the family's 1533-position model. The record is from RNAcentral. Lineage: Bacteria; Bacillati; Actinomycetota; Actinomycetes.
GUCGAGCGAGAAGCCCUUCGGGGUUAGUAAAGCGGCGAACGGGUGAGUAACACGUGGGCAAUCUGCCCCUCGCAGGGGGACAAUCGGGGGAAACUCCGGCUAAUACCCCGUAAGUUUCCAAAGUCGCAUGGCUUUGGAAAGAAAGGUAGCUUCGGCCAUCCGGCGAGGGAUGAGCCCGCGGUACAUUAGCUAGUUGGUGGGGUAACGGCCUACCAAGGCGGCGAUGUAUAGCUGGUCUGAGAGGAUGAUCAGCCACACUGGGACUGAGACACGGCCCAGACUCCUACGGGAGGCAGCAGUCGGGAAUCUUGCACAAUGGGCGAAAGCCUGAUGCAGCAACACCGUGUGAGCGAUGAAGGCCCUAGGGUCGUAAAGCUCUGUUGUUGGGGACGAAGGGCGAAGGGUUAAUAGCCCCUAGCUUGACGGUACCCUUCGAGGAAGCUCCGGCUAACUACGUGCCAGCAGCCGCGGUAAUACGUAGGGAGCGAGCGUUGUCCGGAAUUAUUGGGCGUAAAGAGCGUGUAGGCGGUUCGGUAAGUCUGUCGUGAAAACCUGGGGCUCAACCCUGGGCGUGCGAUGGAUACUGCCGGGCUAGAGGAUGGUAGAGGCCAGUGGAAUUCCCGGUGUAGCGGUGAAAUGCGCAGAUAUCGGGAGGAACACCAGUAGCGAAGGCGGCUGGCUGGGCCAUACCUGACGCUGAGACGCGAAAGCGUGGGGAGCGAACAGGAUUAGAUACCCUGGUAGUCCACGCUGUAAACGAUGGACACUAGGUGUUGGGGGAGUCGAAUCCCUCGGUGCCGCAGUUAACGCGUUAAGUGUCCCGCCUGGGGAGUACGGCCGCAAGGCUAAAACUCAAAAGAUGACGGGGGCCCGCACAAGCAGCGGAGCAUGUUCUUUAUUCGAUGCACCGCGAAGACCUUACCUGGACUUGAACUGGUGCUGCAGGCGCACGGAAACUGUGGGACCUUAAGGGUGC